This 269-nucleotide ribosomal RNA is filed under the name uncultured prokaryote. RNAcentral's name for it is "partial 16S ribosomal RNA". It matches the Rfam family "Bacterial small subunit ribosomal RNA", at positions 524 to 792 of the family's 1533-position model. The record is from RNAcentral.
UACGGAGGAUCCGAGCGUUAUCCGGAUUUAUUGGGUUUAAAGGGUGCGCAGGCGGGAGAUUAAGUCGGCGGUGAAAUUUUGCAGCUCAACUGUAAAAGUGCCUUCGAAACUGGUUUCCUUGAGUGUAGAUUAAGUAGGCGGAAUUUGUGGUGUAGCGGUGAAAUGCAUAGAUAUCACGAGGAACUCCGAUUGCGCAGGCAGCUUACUAAACUACUACUGACGCUCAGGCACGAAGGCGUGGGGAUCAAACAGGAUUAGAUACUCCUGUA